GUAGGUGGCAAGCGUUGUCCGGAAUUAUUGGGCGUAAAGCGCGCGCAGGCGGUUCUUUAAGUCUGAUGUGAAAGCCCACGGCUCAACCGUGGAGGGUCAUUGGAAACUGGAGAACUUGAGUACAGAAGAGGAAAGCGGAAUCCCACGUGUAGCGGUGAAAUGCGUAGAGAUGUGGAGGAACACCAGUGGCGAAGGCGGCUUUCUGGUCUGUAACUGACGCUGAGGCGCGAAAGCGUGGGGAGCAAACAGGGAUUAGAUACCCUGGUAGUCCACGCCGUAAACGAUGAGUGCUAAGUGUUAGGGGGGUUUCCGCCCCCUUAGUGCUGCAGCUAACGCAUUAAGCACUCCGCCUGGGGAGUACGGCCGCAAGGCUG
This 374-nucleotide ribosomal RNA is filed under the name uncultured organism. RNAcentral's name for it is "partial 16S ribosomal RNA". It matches the Rfam family "Bacterial small subunit ribosomal RNA", at positions 527 to 896 of the family's 1533-position model. The record is from RNAcentral.